GACGAACGCUGGCGGCGUGCUUAACACAUGCAAGUCGAACGGAAAGGCCCUGCUUUUGUGGGGUGCUCGAGUGGCGAACGGGUGAGUAACACGUGAGUAACCUGCCCUUGACUUUGGGAUAACUUCAGGAAACUGGGGCUAAUACCGGAUAGGAGCUCCUGCUGCAUGGUGGGGGUUGGAAAGUUUCGGCGGUUGGGGAUGGACUCGCGGCUUAUCAGCUUGUUGGUGGGGUAGUGGCUUACCAAGGCUUUGACGGGUAGCCGGCCUGAGAGGGUGACCGGCCACAUUGGGACUGAGAUACGGCCCAGACUCCUACGGGAAGCAGCAGUGGGGAAUAUUGCACAAUGGGCGGAAGCCUGAUGCAGCAACGCCGCGUGCGGGAUAACGGCCUUCGGGUUGUAAACCGCUUUCGCCUGUGACGAAGCGUGAGUGACGGUAAUGGGUAAAGAAGCACCGGCUAACUACGUG
This 468-nucleotide ribosomal RNA is filed under the name uncultured bacterium. RNAcentral's name for it is "partial 16S ribosomal RNA". It matches the Rfam family "Bacterial small subunit ribosomal RNA", at positions 28 to 507 of the family's 1533-position model. The record is from RNAcentral.